Molecule: ribosomal RNA, 425 nt
Filed under: uncultured bacterium
Lineage: Bacteria
Description: bacterial SSU rRNA
Rfam family: Bacterial small subunit ribosomal RNA
Source: RNAcentral
GUGGGGAAUCUUGCACAAUGGGGGAAACCCUGAUGCAGCGACGCCGCGUGAGCGAUGAAGCCCUUCGGGGUGUAAAGCUCUUUCGGCAGGGAAGACUUUGACGGUACCUGCAGAAGCAGCUGCGGCUAACUACGUGCCAGCAGCCGCGGUAAUACGUAGGCAGCAAGCGUUGUUCGGAGUUACUGGGCGUAAAGGGUGCGUAGGCGGUUCUCUAAGUUUGGUGUGAAAUCUCCCGGCUCAACUGGGAGGGUGCGCCGAAAACUGGAGAGCUAGAGUGUGGGAGAGGAGAGUGGAAUUCCUGGUGUAGCGGUGAAAUGCGUAGAUAUCAGGAGGAACACCGGUGGUGUAGACGGCUCUCUGGACCAUUACUGACGCUGAGGCACGAAAGCGUGGGUAGCAAACAGGAUUAGAUACCCUUGUAGUCC